AGUCGUGGCCUUGCACUCCCUUGCCCCAUAAGUGGUCCCUACAGGGCAGGGAUGUUUGGGGGUAUCUAGACUCUCCCUAACCUCAGACAACUCAUCACUCCUUUCCAGAACUUCUGGUGCUGGUGGCCACCUGAGAUCUACCUCUAAGUUCCUGCUGCCAGACUGGCCCAUGGAACAUUCUCCCUGUGAUGGCUGUCCUCGCUGCCCAACUAGAAGCUUCUUCCAAUCCAGGCUGAGAAAGGGGCCCGUGAAGUGCUGCUGGGAUGAGGACCUGGGUCUCGUUCAAGAGCAAGGGCACACACGUCCCUGGGUCUGCGCCUAACACUACUGCGUAUGGCUCCAGGCCAAAUCUCCAAAUGAAAUCAGGCCGGGGAGAAAUGAACAACCGAGAUGCACAAAACAAUGUGAAGAAGAAACGAAUAAUAAUAUAAAAAAAAAGCCGGUGGUUGAAGCCCAAGAUGAGCCGUGGGAGGGGCUCAGGACAUGACACGAUGUGAGGGGUGGACUGCUGUGUGCCAACAGUGGUGAUGAUUGACGUGAGUAAAUCCUUGGCUUUUUGCCUAAGUGCUUCCUCCUUUGUUAUGUCAUUUCUAUCAUCACGCUCACCUUGUCAUGUAACUGGAACGGGUAUUAGUAUGCUUAUCUUAUAGAUGAGGAGUCUGGGGCUCAGGGAAGGUGAGCAGCUUGCCAGGUGAAUGAGUCAGGCUGGGCUAAUCACUGUCACAAACAGCCCCAAAAUCUCAGUGGGUUAGUUCCGUAAAAGUUUUGCAGAUAUGCCCCUCCUCAAUGAGAACUGGAAAGGAUGCCCCGCUUGAUGCAAUGUUUCUGAGACCCAGGCUCCUUCUUGGGGCUCUGCUAUUCUUGGAGUGCUUGGAGUGUCUUGACUUGGCAGGUGCAUGGAAAAAUCAAGUGAGGGGUCGAUGCAUAAUGCUUUUUAUGGGUGGGGCCUGGGAGUGGCGGCGUCACCUCUGUUCAUGUUCCAUAGGCUAGAACAUAGUCACCUGCUAUGACUACAGCAGGGAGGCUAGGGAGUGUCAUGAAGCUGUGGGUCCGGCAAGAAAAGGAGAAUGAGGGUACCAGUGAGUCCUGCCACGCCCAGACUCACACAGCCCACAGCAGUGAAAUCAGUCCUCAGACCUAUGUUCUGAUCCUGGUACUGUGCUUUUCUCUUCUGGUGCUUUACUUUGAAGUAGUAAGCUUUUUCAGUGGAGCCAUGUUCCUGGUCUUUUUCUAGGUCUGGAAGUCCUUACAUCGAUAAGAAUCCAAUGAUAAUGACAACAGUAUCUCCCUGUUAUAUGCACAUCUCAUUUCUUGUCCCCACCACCCCAUAAGUUACAUAGGAGAACCCUACCUUCUACUUGAGGACAGUGCAGCUCAGGGAGAUCAAGUAGCUUCUUUGAGGUUGUGGGAAGGUGACAGUGUGAGUCUAAGCCUUUCUGGCUCCUGUCUUCUGUCUUUCUCCCAUGCUGCUAUGGCUCCUGCUGGACGUGGGAUUGGGGUCUGAGUAGGUGGAGAGCCAGCCUUCUUAAUCCCGCAGGGCAGACGUCCCUGAAGAUACUUAAGUAGGAUGCAAAUGCAGUGGGCAAAGUUCUCACCGCCUUCU
Long non-coding RNA from Panthera uncia (snow leopard), 1603 nucleotides. RefSeq lists it as uncharacterized. The transcript has 4 exons. Lineage: Eukaryota; Metazoa; Chordata; Mammalia; Carnivora; Felidae. The record is from RefSeq and is a predicted model, not a curated record.